This 343-nucleotide unclassified non-coding RNA is filed under the name soil metagenome. Its description in RNAcentral is "partial contains 5.8S ribosomal RNA, internal transcribed spacer 2, and large subunit ribosomal RNA". The stretch from base 1 to 120 matches the Rfam family "5.8S ribosomal RNA", at positions 35 to 154 of the family's 154-position model. The record is from RNAcentral.
GAUGAAGAACGCAGCGAAAUGCGAUAAGUAAUGUGAAUUGCAGAAUUCAGUGAAUCAUCGAAUCUUUGAACGCACAUUGCGCCCCUUGGUAUUCCGAGGGACAUGCCUGUUCGAGCGUCAUUACACCACUCAAGCACUGCUUGGUAUUGGGCAUCGUCCGUCGAAAGGCGGGCGUGCCUCGAAGACCUCGGCGGGGUUUCUCCAACUUCGGGCGUAGUAGAGUUAAAUCGAACGUCUUAUAAGCUUGGUGGGACUCCAUUGCCGUUAAACCUUUUAUUUUCUAGGUUGACCUCGGAUCAGGUAGGGAUACCCGCUGAACUUAAGCAUAUCAAUAAGCGGAGGA